This 539-nucleotide ribosomal RNA is filed under the name uncultured bacterium. RNAcentral describes it as "bacterial SSU rRNA". It matches the Rfam family "Bacterial small subunit ribosomal RNA", at positions 777 to 1313 of the family's 1533-position model. The record is from RNAcentral.
AAUAGAUACCCCGGUAGUCCACGCCGUAAACGAUGGACACUAGCUGUCCGGCGCACGUUGGUGCGCUGGGUGGCCAAGCGAAAGUGAUAAGUGUCCCACCGUGGGGAGUACGUUCGCAAGAAUAGAAACUCAAAGGAAUUGGACGGGGGCCCGCACAAGCGGUGGAGCAUGUGGUUUAAUUCGAUGAUACGCGAGGAACCUUACCAGGGCUUAAAUGCAGUCCGACAGGAUUGGAAACAGUCCUUUCUUCGGACGGAUUGCAAGGUGCUGCAUGGUUGUCGUCAGCUCGUGCCGUGAGGUGUCAGGUUAAGUCCUAUAACGAGCGCAACCCCUGCCGUUAGUUGCCAGCGAGUAAAGUCGGGAACUCUAGCGGGACUGCCGGUGCAAACCGUGAGGAAGUGGGGAUGACGUCAAAUCAUCACGGCCCUUACGUCCUGGGCCACACACGUGCUACAAUGGCAGGUACAAUGGGCAGCCACUGCGCAAGCAGGCGCGAAUCCNAAAAACCCUGUCUCAGUUCGGAUCGGGGUCUGCAACCG